GGAGAUACAGCUCAGUGGCAUAAGCAUCUGCCUGGCAAGUACAAGGUCCUGAGUUUGAUUCCCAGUACCCCCC
RNAcentral lists this transfer RNA (73 nucleotides) under Cavia porcellus (domestic guinea pig). It matches the Rfam family "tRNA". From Rfam's summary of the family: Transfer RNA (tRNA) molecules are approximately 80 nucleotides in length. Their secondary structure includes four short double-helical elements and three loops (D, anti-codon, and T loops). Lineage: Eukaryota; Metazoa; Chordata; Mammalia; Rodentia; Caviidae. The record is from Rfam by way of RNAcentral.